AGUGUACGAACGCAGCAUUACAUCAUUGUGCAAAAAGUAACCUGGAUUGUACGUACCUUAGAUUUGUAUUGAUAUCAUUGGUGAUUCAAUUUAUUUACCCUCACUUCAAUUUCCACUUUACUUCCACUUCUGAUUCUUCUCAUUUGUUUUUUAGUCCGUCCUUGCUCUUUCUCUUUCUCUGCCAGUUUGACAUUUUGAUAUCUUCUUUGUUAUUCAUUCUCUCAGCAAAAAGUUAUUAAUUUCCCUAAAUUGGUUUGACUUCACAUAGGAAACACUCUUAUGUCUCCAGCUCCAGAACGCUCAAAAUCAACUUUCAUACGGUUUCCGUCUCCUGCUUCAGUUUCAGAGAUAAAAAUAAUAUGCUCUUCUCCUUCUCCUUCAAAGGUCGUCUACCUCUUCGAGUGAGUUUCUCAACUUUUUCUAUCUUCCUUUUCUCUUGGAGUUCGCUGAUGUCUUUUGUGCAUGCCGCCUUCUCUGUCCUUGUGAGCUUUUCGGCAUUCUUUCUCUGUUUAAGAUAUCCAGUUGUUGCUAAUUGAACUUUGGUAGACCUCUAUUACAGUCAUCUACUUUUCUGAUAGGUUUUUCAUUUUUGUUGGAUUUUUUACAUACUUUAUUUAAUUUAAGAAUACAUGUUUGGAAUAAGAUACAUUCAUACAAAAUUUUGAUAUUUGAUGAACACAAACUUUAUUUUCGGGCAAUCAACCUUAAUUCCCUAUUUCCCCUCUUUAUUUUGGGAAUUUUGUUUAUCUAUUUUUCUGUUAAUUUCUACAAAUAUCUACUCACUUCAUUCCUAUUUGAAGCUCUAAGAUUGUUGGUAUGGGGAUAAGUAAGUGAUGUAAGCAAGAUUAAUAACGACUUGAUUACAAAUGACAAAAUAUUGAACUAGAGUAGUAUACAUUACACUCUUUUUUAAAUCUCAUUGUUUGAGUUAUUUGAGGCACCUAACCCUCAGGGUUGGCCUGGUGGCAAUUGACUUGAGCCUUGGGGUUUGCUCCCUUUCAAGGUCUCAUGUUCGAAACCCACUGGGUGCAAACAAUUUCUGAGGGUCAUCGGACUGGGUAACACCUGAAUUAACCGUGGUGCACUUGCGGGAAACUCCUUGCCGAGGGCCUGUGCACCCCGGGAUUAGUCGGGGCUCUUAGAAACUCGGACACCCGGUGCAAAUCCCAAAAAAAAAAAAGUUAUUUGAGGCACCCCAAAUGUUCGACGAUAUGUCAAAAAUAAUUAACUACAUAAUAUUUUUUUUUUCCUUUUGACUGCUCUUCUAUCGUUCAUUGUGUGUAUUUCUACUACAAGAUUGCCUCUGUUUGUUUCUAAUUUAAAAACGUGCCACUUUUUAUCUAACUUUACCUUUUCAAGAAAAAAUAAAGAUGACUUUAAAGUUGCUCAAAAUUACCCAAAUUGUAAAUAUAAUUUUAUGAAGUUAUAAUUGAACUAUUUGGAACAUGAGUAUUGAAAGAUAAAGAUAUUGCUGAGCCGAAGGUUGGGGGUUUAGAUUAUCCAUUUCUUUGCAUGACCUUCUUUUGAUAGACUUGAGUGUUCCAAUGAUGGUGAAGAAGUUGGUCGAUUAAAAUAGACAAGAAGGAGGACAUUUAUUACGCUAUUUUUGUACCUUGUGAAGAGCAAAAUCAACUGCUCCUCUUUGUUGUAAGAUUACUUGAAAGUUAAAACAUCAGAGGUUUAAUACAAUAGGUGAUUGAUGGUCAAAAGUUGGAAACAAGAGAAGUGUUAAGAAAAGCGAUGAAGAUGUUGUGUGUUUACAUAUUUAACCUAAGGUUUCACUACUUGUGCCACUUAGAUCUCCAGGAUAUAUGAAGUGUUAAUGCCAUCUAUAUUCGAGCUGAUGAAAUCUUAACACUUUGGGGAGCAUAGGUCAUCCUGAAUGGAGUAAAAGUAGCAUAAGACAUUAUGAGUGGAAGAGCUCAAGGCGAAUGUCUUGAAUAGCGACAAAGGUUAUACAAAGUUACAAUAUUGUUUGUAUUCUGUAUUUAAAUCCAAUUUAGUGAGUCACACUCUUCGUUUUACUUCUUUGAUAUUUGUUCGUGGUUGAGAAUAUUUUGUGGAUGUAGUAAUCUAACAGCUAUUACUUAUGUUUGUGUUCAAGAAAUUCAUUGAAACAUAUAUCAUUUGUUUGCAUCUGUUUCAAUUGCAGUUUGGUAUUAACCGCCUAAUUUUGUGUCUAUCAGUAUCAGAAAAAAUUAGAAUUAUACCAAAUUUAAAAUUUUACUUCAACAAAAUAAAAAGACUUGGAACAGGAAUGUCGACAAAUAGAGGGUCAAGAAGAGUAAGUGAUAUCAUUCUCUAUUCUUGCUUCUUCUUUUUUAACCCCUGGUCUAUAUUUCUUCUUUUCAUUUUGUUUUGGUAUUGAAAUUGGCAGCUCAAGGGUGUUGAAAAGAAAAGAACAUGUGGUACCUGUAAUUCUGGAGAUUAGUCAAAUUAUAAAUGGCAAUAUCACCAACACUAUGAAUGUCUUUGUUUGUCAUAUGAUAGUGUUUGCAAAUAACUGCUUGGUUUUGCAGAAAUUGAAGCUAUAACUUUGGUUCUUGUAAGUGUUUGCCAAUUUUGAUGUUAAUAUUUUUGAAAAGCAAUGUGGUCAUGUGUAGGGAGAUUGUAAUGUUACUGUCCAUGUAUAGUCCUGCACGCAGCGUUGAAGAUGUCUUAACUUUUAGAAAGGAACUUUUCCCCGAGACAGUAGUGGUGCUUCUUGGCCAUAAUAUUAGAUUGCUUUCUUAUAUCUAGAAACCCAAAUGUGAGGUGAUAUGAUGUAGACAAUUCUCAUGGUUAAUAGCAUAUAUUUAACUAGUAUUAUUUUUCUUAAGGUUCUUGAUACUAUUAUAUUCAUUAGUGCUGUUGUAGCUGGAAUUUCAAAUAUUUGGUGGUUUAGGGUUGCGGACAGUUCCAGUAGUUAAUAAUUUGAUACUUGUUAACCGUGAAUCAUAUUCUGAUUACUUGGUUGUGUAGCAAUCUGGAAUUCAAAUUGUGAGGUGGUUUACAUAAGUUAAUAAUGUAUCCCGUUCUUAUUUUGGGAUAGAUUUGAUCAUGUUAUAAUAUUCUUUCACGUUAUUGCAGCUGAAAUCCCAAAUGUGAUAUUGUUGCAGCAAAUCAUUCACAUGGGAACAAUGCUUGUGAAGAGCAUAAGAUGGUGGAUGUGCUUUAUGUAAUAGUAGUAGUUUUACUCCAUCCAGUUUGUUGUACAUAUCUGUAGUGUGGUUUGUUUUCAUAGAAACAACGUGACUUGACUAUGUUAAUGUUUUGGUUUCUUUUUAAUUCUAAGCUCUAUUUCAGCUCCCAAUUCUGCCGUCUUCAACAUUUUUCAAACAAAACUAAUUCUAUGUCCUUUGGUUGUUUGAAGUCAGCUUUGUAAUUAUAUUUGCCGG
This 3377-nucleotide long non-coding RNA is filed under the name Nicotiana tabacum (common tobacco). Its description in RNAcentral is "long non-coding RNA (NTAB_LNC004170)". Lineage: Eukaryota; Viridiplantae; Streptophyta; Magnoliopsida; Solanales; Solanaceae. The record is from RNAcentral.